This is a non-coding RNA of Sesamum indicum (sesame), 871 nucleotides long. The record is from RefSeq and is a predicted model, not a curated record. Lineage: Eukaryota; Viridiplantae; Streptophyta; Magnoliopsida; Lamiales; Pedaliaceae.
UUUUUUUUUUUUAAAUUGUUCAUUUUGAUGGUACAGAGUAAAAGAUGCCAUUUUUUUUUUUUAAAUUAUUAGUGGCAAAAUGUGAUUUACUCAUUCUUUUUUACUUAUGUCUGAAUAAAAUCUUGUACUACAAACUUUUGUCGGCAUUUGAACAAGAAACUUUGGAUUACUGCAUUCGCUAUUAUGGAGAUUAGAAGGACGUUUGGGAUUUUUUUCAUAUUUUUGGUUGUGAUGGCUGCUCAGGUGAGCAUCCCUGGUGCGGAAGCAAAACAUUGCAUAUCAAAGAGUAAGAAAUACAAGAAAUUUUGUCUACACGACCAGAAUUGUACUAAAAUCUGCAGGACUGAGGGAUUCUCUCGUGGGAGAUGUCAAGGCUUUCCUCUUUAUUGUUACUGCAUUAGAAAAUUAUAGGCAUUGGACAAAUAUGAUUCACCAGAAGCUCCGGGCAAAAUCCUCUCAGUUUCUGUCGAUCCCAGGCGCCUCUGUCCCAAUGAUAAUUCACUUUCUGUUGCGCGUAUUCAGACGCUUGAGCUCUAAUGUACAAAGGUUUCUUUCCACACCAUCAAUCACACCAGAAAGAUAUGUCUCUGUUGCCAAGUGCCAAGAAUUGUAUCUGUUGGACUCUGCUUUAAUUCUCUAUAUCCUCCUCCAAGUGUAGGAAUAGUUUUUGCAAUAUUCCACGCAGCUGGGAAUGUUAUUUCAACAACAUUUGUUAUGCAAAUACAUCGCCUACAAAGAGUUGUUUGAAUGAUCCACUGAAAAGAAAGUCGCACGACUAAUUGUAAUAGCAACAAGAUACAUAUAUUUUAGAUAGCAAUUGGUAUCAUAUCCUAAUCACUGAUUAAUAUCAUUAUAAAAUUGGAUUGUUUUA